RNAcentral lists this signal recognition particle RNA (289 nucleotides) under Saimiri boliviensis boliviensis (Bolivian squirrel monkey). RNAcentral's name for it is "Metazoan signal recognition particle RNA (ENSSBOG00000005627.1)". It matches the Rfam family "Metazoan signal recognition particle RNA". Rfam says of the family: The signal recognition particle (SRP) is a universally conserved ribonucleoprotein. It is involved in the co-translational targeting of proteins to membranes. The record is from RNAcentral. Lineage: Eukaryota; Metazoa; Chordata; Mammalia; Primates; Cebidae.
GCCAGGUGCGGUGGCGCGUGCCUGUAAUCCCAGCUACUCGAGAGGCUGAGGUGGGAGGAUCACUUGAGCCCAGGAGUUCUGGGCUGUAGUGCGCUAUGCCGAUCGGGUGUGCCUGCAUCAAUAUGGUGACCUCUUGAGAGCGGGGGACCACCAGGUUGCCUAAAGAGGCGUGAACCGGCCCAGGUCAGAAACGGAGCAGUACAAAACUCCCGUGCUGAUCAGUAGUGGGAUCGCGCUUGUGAAUAGCCACUGCACUCCAGCCUGGGCAACAUAGCGAGACCCUGUCUCU